RNAcentral lists this transfer RNA (69 nucleotides) under Neuronema laminatum. RNAcentral describes it as "tRNA-Gln". Lineage: Eukaryota; Metazoa; Arthropoda; Insecta; Neuroptera; Hemerobiidae. The record is from RNAcentral.
UACAUUUUAGUAUAUGAUGUACUUGAAUUUUUGGUAUUUAAGGGAAUGGUUUAAUUCCAUUAAAUGUAA